CACACACACACACACACACACACACACGCACACACACACACACACACACACACACACACACACACACGCGCACACACACGAUGCGCCAGCUGUCAAAGAGGCCACUGAGGAAAAAUGUAGAAGGAGAGAAAUCUUCAACGAGGAAGGCGGCCGCGGCUCAGGUGAGGUCACGUGACUGACGUCGCUGAGCACCGCCCACAGCACCGGCCUUCAGGUCACCCGUCGGACGGCCGCUACGCGUCUCCACACAUGCGCUCACAUCAUUCGAAUACAAAAGGAACUCACCACAGGCACGUUGAAAAGGUCCUGGACCCGUCCGGCGGCCCUCUGUGUACCGUCCCACAGCAUUUGGGUCUAAUUGGCAGUGCAGGUGGGACGACCUCUCACGCCUCCUAUGGACAAACCCUCAGCAACGCGACGAGCCGGAGCCUCUUUUCCUUUCUCUGUGCGGCUGAUUCGUGGAACGUUUGGGUUCUCGGGGACCAGCAGGUUGUGCCGACUCCAGAACCAGCUGUCAUUAGGGACUGGAUACAUCAUUGUCUAUCUCGCUAAGCCCCCUCCGCUGAUCCUAAACCAGUCUAAUCAAUCUGUCAGACCCGAGCAGCAGGAGAGUCAAAAUAAAAGCCUGACGGACCCGUGCAAAAAAACCUCCCAAAACCCACUUCCCUCUUUAUAUCGUUGAUUUUUGUCGCCAUUACACGCCAGGAACCACUGACUCCGAAACAGUCCUUGUAUCUAGCAUGGCAUGAGGAAUGAUCGGGGCCGUUAGCUCUAAAACCGAUCCCAGCGCCACCGUUAGGGGUCGUGGGAAUGCAGAGGAGGUCACACUGGAAGCCCCAUGGCUGAUCUGGGAGCUGUCUGAAAGGCAGGACAGGCAGGCACUGGGUGCAUGGGUGAGGAGAGGCUGACUGCACACACACACGUACGCACACACACACACACACACACACACACACACACACACACACACACAAACAUGCAGGCACAUUACGCCACCCGUAAGCCCUCCUCACACAGUAACCUUGUAUAUGUGUGUGUGUGUGCGUGUGAUCAAGUGCAAAGUGUAGAGUGCUUAUAGCACGUGUUUAGCAUUAAAUUCACAUUUCUCAAACAGUUCCUCUGGUCCUCCGUGUUUGAUCGGCCCGGCUCAGCGUACUCGUGGUUCUAUUGAGGAGCGACACAUCAGCGACAGAUACAGUUUGUUGUUGUUUUUUUUCUCCCAAAGAAACACUUACAAUGAUUUUUUUUUUUUUUUUUUCAAACACAACACAGUGAUUUUUUCUUUUAACAGGACAAACUUUCCCCCACACGUGUGAGUGUGUGCUGUGUGCGUGUGCGUGCGUGUACGUUUGAGACCAUAUUAGAGUGUUUCUGUUGUUUCUAUACUUAUAAGGACUUCCAUCCCCCCCCCAUAAAAUCAUCCAAAGCAGGGAUGCUUUUUGUAUUUGAAUUCAUGUUAGCGUGGCUUGUUUCAGUUGAUUUAAUAUCGUAAUUUGGUACAUUGUUUUUGGUUUGAACUUAUUUGAAAUAUUUAAUCACAAUAUGCUCCAAAACUCCCGCGUUAAUAAUGACAAUUAUUAUGCAUGAACCUGUUGUCGUGCCGGUCAUGGUAAACAAUCUAUUGUUUCCCCUGUGAGUCAAAUAUCUGCUCUUACAGACUCUUUUAGUGGGUCGCAUUGUUUUCUGCAUUCAUCUCCUGUUGAAGAGUUUUAGCCUGUGGUUCAUUGGGUGAAUAAGUCCUCGGAAGUAUAGCAACUAUACUUUGACAGCAUGUGUGUGUGUGUGUGUGUGUAUUGCACUUUCAGUGUUGAGUGUCCCGCUGAUGACCUGUAAAGUUGACCCCUGGCACCAGUGAGGUGAGGUCCAUGUCCACGAGAGAUGGUCCGAGCGCGCCACUGUCUCUUUCUCGGCCUCCUGUCGGAGGCUCCCGAUGUGAUCGAAACAACACAAUCUCACAAACCACAUCAAAGUAGAAAAGGAAACUAGAAUAAUAUAAUAUUACAAAGACUACGGCCCCCGCUUCCCAACGCUGCUCCCUUUCCACCCCCACCCCUCCCCGUUAAUAGAUAUAAUAACUAUAGUAUGUGACAGAGUUUGUCAUCCUCUGCACAGUGGCACCUUUAGAGUAGAAUAAUAUAUAUUUUUUACUAAUAAUACAAUUAUUUGUUGUUGAUAUCAGAGUAUCAAAGCUGUAUGGCGGUAGGAAGAGAUAGACAGAGGUGAGGUCUCAAAGAUCGCCCCGCGUCCUCUGGAGUAAACAGCGUUAAACACAGCUCCAACGCACGUGAGGCGUCUUAAAUGUAGCAGAACCCCCCCGCGGAGUACAGAGGCCCGGGGCGCCAUUUGAGACCGGGUUAGAGAUAGAGGUAAUGUAAGCACUGGAAGCGGAUGGAUAUGGCAUGCAUGGUUUGAAAAGGUCAAUGCUGGCAUGGCUCAUGGAUGCGGUGGUGAACUCUGACCCCCCCGACAGACCCUCAGAAUCCAGGGGGGGGGGCCCGAUCUGCUGAGCUACAUAGCUACUACUGCUGAGUCAGUAUACUGCAGGACGGGAUCUGAAGCUAACCUGGAGGCCGUGAUAUACUAGAAACACCUUGAGUAAUAUUUGGCACUAAGUAUGAUUAACAAUAUUUUGCUAAUAUAUGUUUCAUCCUUAAGCUAACUGAAAUAAUUCUUAAUCAAAGUUCUACCUCUGCUUAAGGCGAUAUUCUUAUUCUCUAAUUACUUCGGAAAACUCCCCGCCGAAGCCUAAAGUUAGCCCAAAAGGAAGCGGCCAAAGGCUAACGAGUAGGCUAACCAACAGGAGUAGGAGGGCCUCGUCCCCCUGGCUCCGCCUCUCCUCUGCACGGAGCGCGUCCCAUCCUCCGGGAAGCCAUUCAGCUUCGCCUCGACACGACGGCGCCGCGGCGCUGAGCAUAAAAAGCCCUUGUGUGCUCCGCUCCUUUAAAAAUUAAAAGCCCUUGCUUGGAGAAAGGCGUUUUUUUUUUUUUUUAAAUAUCCUUUUCACCCUUCACAGCCCGUGACAACUGCUGAGGUUGUAGUUAGCUUGCAAAAUUGAUAUUUACACGUGGGGGACAGCAAGAGCGAGUCCGCCGUGUUGCACAUUUGUCCCUUUAAGCUCCCUUUAUGGCGUAAAAGACAGCGGAUAAAACAGCAGCGUCAUAAAUUAAGCAGUGUGACUGAGAUUUAAAACAUUGUUUAUUUUCAAGGUAAUAACUCUCAAAGUGGUGUGGCGUUUCAGCGUGGUGAUGUUUCAUGGUUAGUUUAUACAAAACAGUGCAAUGGCGGCUUAGGGAGGUAAAGAGGGAAACAAAAAUGCAUUUUCUUCCUCUUUCGGUUUCACGCUCACCUUUUACUUACAGCCCCGGAAAAAGGUGUGAGAAAAGUUGACAUUUACACUAUUUACUGGCGCUCGCUCUCUCCCUUUCGUCUCCUCCCCCUCAUCUGUGUGCGAAACGACCCGCCGAGAAAAAGAGACGCACUUAAACAUCCCGAGUUCAAAACGCCGUUAGUGCAUUCAGUGUUUCUAUGCACACGCGUCUGAGAGGGAGGUGAACUUAAGCUUAUCGCUCCUCCACAAGCUGUCGCAGAAAAGAGACGUAGACCACGAGAUGUGUGUGUGUGUGUGUGUGUGCGCGUCUGGGUAAAUGUAUACAGGAUUUGUGGAGAUAAAGAGGAGGAGAGUCUGUGAGUGACAGCUGAACGGAUCCUUUGAAUAAUACGUGCCUCUUCUGCCAAUUCCAUCUAUUAAUCUCUCCCCGUUGGAGGAGAGCGCGCUGUACUUUAGGCCGAAGGGAGCGUUUUCUCACCGUUUAUUUCUGCGGCUGAAAUAUUUAAAAAAGACAACUUUUUUGUUGUCGUUGUUGAUCAAACUCAUCUGAAAUGCAUUCACUUGCGAGGUAGUGGGCAAACGAAAACAACAGAAAAAAAAAAAACGUCCAUCUGUUUGUUGAAUGUCUUUUUUUGGCUCUGCCUCGAAGCGUAUUCACAGCUCAGCGGUCUCCUCGCCGCGGGAACCGACAACCUCCACGGACCCUAGCUAGACUAGGAUGGACACCCACGGAAGACAGGACCUACAGGAGGAGGAGGAGGCGGAGGAGGAGGAGGAGGUGCAGGGCGGCGGUGAGGUGAGUUAUGGGGCUACACGGGAAAAGAAGGCGUGGAAGGCGAAGGGUGACGGGUGAAGGCGGGCAGACAGACGGAGAUGCGAUCACCUCGAUGCGGUAAAAAAACAAAUCAAGGUGUGACUGAAAACGGGUAAAAGGAAGCACCAAUGAUAACGUUACCAUCUAAAAAGGUUAAUUAGUUUCCCCCCCCCCCUCCCCCACCCACUCUUCUAAAAGCUGAUCUGUAGUCAGUGCACCUGGUCCCCCUCAUCAGAAACCAGGAUGCAGGUUUUAACAGCUGACCCUGGAUCAGAGAUGGGGGUAAAUGUUACCAAGAAUGAGCUCGACCCAGUUUCAGUUCAGUCUGUUAAGAAGGGAGCUUCUCCACCAAUCGAUAUGAAAGGAGCCUAUAUACAAUAUGUAUAAGAAAAUAAUAACAAACGUGCCGCCUUAAAUAGACAAACUGCGCCCUCCGUUUAUAUUUUGAAUCCAGCUGAACUGAAAGUGAAUCAAUCCCGUUCCCGAGGCGUGAUCAGAGCGACAGCCCAGAGCUGGCAGCUCGUCCCACUGCCACCCCAAAAAGGUCGGGAGGACAGAGGUCAAAAAGGUCAAAGAUCACAGAGUCCCUCACCUCCUUCCCCUUUAGUUCACAUUGUUUUAAAUGUUUGGGAGAAGUUGCCCCCCAAACAGCAGACCACUUGUCGGAUAUGCUUUUGAUCAUGGGUCAGCUUGCCCCCCCCUCGAAAAGCCAGAAAGUCACUUCAUGAUCACAACACUCAUGGACAUAAAUUGAACGUGCCUCC
Gasterosteus aculeatus (three-spined stickleback) is the source of this 4906-nucleotide long non-coding RNA. NCBI's taxonomy places the organism in Eukaryota, Metazoa, Chordata, Actinopteri, Perciformes, Gasterosteidae. The record is from Ensembl.